CAGCCGCCACGGGAAUACGUAGGUGGCAAGCGUUGUCCGGAAUUAUUGGGCGUAAAGGGCUCGCAGGCGGUUUCUUAAGUCUGAUGUGAAAGCCCCCGGCUCAACCGGGGAGGGUCAUUGGAAACUGGGAAACUUGAGUGCAGGAGAGGAGAGUGGAAUUCCACGUGUAGCGGUGAAAUGCGUAGAGAUGUGGAGGAACACCAGUGGCGAAGGCGACUCUCUGGUCUGUAACUGACGCUGAGGAGCGAAAGCGUGGGGAGCGAACAGGAUUAGAUACCCCUGUAGUCCCUGUCUCUUAUAA
RNAcentral lists this ribosomal RNA (301 nucleotides) under uncultured bacterium. Its description in RNAcentral is "partial 16S ribosomal RNA". It matches the Rfam family "Bacterial small subunit ribosomal RNA", at positions 509 to 809 of the family's 1533-position model. The record is from RNAcentral.